This 425-nucleotide ribosomal RNA is filed under the name uncultured bacterium. Its description in RNAcentral is "bacterial SSU rRNA". It matches the Rfam family "Bacterial small subunit ribosomal RNA", at positions 355 to 786 of the family's 1533-position model. The record is from RNAcentral.
UGGGGAAUAUUGGGGCAAUGGGGGAAAGCCCAUGACCCACGCAACGCCGCGUGAAGGAAGAAGGCUUUCGGGUUGUAAACAUUCUUUUAUCCACGGGAGCGAAGGACGUGACGGUACCUGGAGAAAAAGCAACGGCUAACUCCGUGCCAGCAGCCGCGGUAAUACGUAGGUUGCGAGCGUUGUCCGGAUUUACUGGGUGUAAAGGGCGUGUAGGCGGAGAAGCAAGUUGGGAGUGAAAUCUAUGGGCUCAACCCAUAAACUGCUCUCAAAACUGUGCCCCUUGAGUAUCGGAGAGGCAAGCGGAAUUCCUAGUGUAGCGGUGAAAUGCGUAGAUAUUAGGAGGAACACCAGUGGCGAAGGCGGCUUGCUGGACGACAACUGACGCUGAGGCGCGAAAGCGUGGGGAGCAAACAGGAUUAGAUACC